CCGCCGGCCCUGGAUCCCCACGCGCCACCGGCCCUGGAUCCCAGCAUGCCGCCGUCGGCCCUGGAUCCCAGCCUGCCGCCCCGGCCGCUAGCCCUGGAUCCCACCACCGCGCCGCCGGGCAGUGGACCCCUGUGCGCUGCGCUUCCACCAUGGCGGACGGUAACCACCAACCCAUCAUCAUCGCCUACAGUCCGAGUCUGUACGCCUGCACCGUUCAACUCCUUCCUCGAGUACGUCUGCGAUGGAUGCAUGCCACCCCCUACUAUGGAUAAGGUGUGAUCCGCCGUCAUCUCCUCUCACGGGGUGCGCGACUCCCGGAGGCUGGACCACCUCGGCGCACCCUGCUGGGGAGCCGUUCAACAGGGCCACCUUCAGCACCCUCUCGGGCCGCCGUUCAACUACACCAACUGGGGGUCGUUCAACAAACUCGCCCGACGCCGUACGAGGCCGAGUCCCAGCGAGGAGCUUGUCACCUCCUAGGCUAUGUGCUGCCUGAGGACUAUGGGCUCCUGUUCGUCAACGUCGCAACGAGCACUGACGGAGAUGCAAACUUAGACACCCCAAGUUGUGCGUGUGCAGAGCCAUAGGUGAGGCAUCCAGGAAAGCACUCCAUCCAGGACUACAGAUUUUUGCUAAUAACAAAGUUCAUGUUGUCAGAAAAUUGAAGUCCAUUUAUAUGGAAUUAGAUGGUUGUUGUGUGUAUGCAGCUAUUAGCAGAAAUCUGUGCUGAAAACUUGUGGCUGAGCCAGGGCCCUGGAUGCUGAUAACAUUUGUAAUUUGUGCUCUGUACCUUCUGGAGACUUGGGGGAUGAAAAAAGG
Molecule: long non-coding RNA, 819 nt
Organism: Triticum dicoccoides
Lineage: Eukaryota; Viridiplantae; Streptophyta; Magnoliopsida; Poales; Poaceae
Exons: 2
Source: RefSeq, a predicted model, not a curated record